Balaenoptera musculus (blue whale) is the source of this 86-nucleotide small nuclear RNA. Its record names the gene U4. It matches the Rfam family "U4 spliceosomal RNA". From Rfam's summary of the family: U4 small nuclear RNA (U4 snRNA) is a component of the major U2-dependent spliceosome. The structure of U4 snRNA from yeast and human has been reported. U4 snRNA presents a k-turn RNA motif in the 5p-SL related to recognition of Snu13 protein. The record is from Ensembl. NCBI's taxonomy places the organism in Eukaryota, Metazoa, Chordata, Mammalia, Artiodactyla, Balaenopteridae.
AGCUUUGCGCAGUGGCAGUAUCGUAGCCAAUGAGGUUUAUCCGAGGCGCGAUUAUUGCUAAUUGAAACAAAAGGGUAGCAAUACUA